Molecule: long non-coding RNA, 496 nt
Organism: Amphiprion ocellaris (clown anemonefish)
Lineage: Eukaryota; Metazoa; Chordata; Actinopteri; Pomacentridae
Source: Ensembl
UGUGGACCUUCAUAUUCCUUUCUAUCCUGUCUCUAAACGUCUGUCAGGCUGCUGCACAAGAAAACUCGACGCAAAAGUACUAUGUCAAACUGAAAAUAGACAAAAAUGCAAUCGGAAACAUAACCGAGCUACUGAGACCUUUUGUGGACGACACCAACCUGAGCGUCGAUGAUUUGAAAAUGACGACAGAGUGUAAGGAGGACUCGGCAGGUGUAAAGUGUAGCUGCAAACCAAACCACAGGUGGAGUGACGACGUUUGUUGGUCUAACAAGACGUGUUGUGGCGACUCAGAAUGCACCUUCCCAACAAACUCAGAUCAAAUGUGUGUUUCUGUCCAUUCAGUUGCUGUUUCAGGGUCUCUCACUCUGGGACAAAAUCAUUCCAAUUGUCUGAGAGAGAGCACAUCUGAAGAAUACAAGAAAUGUAAUGACACAUUGUUCAUAGAGAUGAAGAGAGUGUACAGCACUAUCAGGGGAUUUGUCACCUUAACAAUCAC